UCUCACACCUGCCAUUCCUCCUGUAAUAGGCACUACUUUGCAUGAAGAAAAGAAUAGAUAUAAGAGUAGAAUUAGAAGGAAAUUAGAGACGCGUUAGAGAAUCUAACGCUAGUAUUAGAAGAAUUGUGCAAGAGGUGAACAGGACGUUGAAUUGAUAACAGCCAAGCUUAACUAUAAACAGCCGGUUUGUUUUAUGCCCAUUCAGCUUGUUAAAGGCUUACCUCCCAUUGGGUGGAGAUUAAAACGUCAUUCAUUUUGCUUGAUAUUAUUGGCUAUGGAAAUCUAUGACGUAUGCCUCGACACCUCUCGGACAAUCCUCAAGUCACUUUUAGGAGGAGUAGCAGCCAGUCACCAAGAUGGUACAGACGCACAACCCGUGUCGCUCUGACUUGAGUUACUCAAAGACUUAGACUCUGAUCAAGACGCAAGAGUCUUAAUAACUUUGCUUAUAACCUUUGUCGUGUGAUUGAGUAGUAAAGAAGUGCACUGUUGUUGAGCUGUAAAGACAAUAUAUAUUUUCUAAAUAAACUGCAAAACGCCAGACUAACUUUGAUAACCCACUUGCACAAGGAUGUUGUGAGUGAUGAUUAUCGAGAAAGAAAAUCGUCGUCUCCGAUACCAAGCUACGCCCACCGACACAUAGUCGCCACAGGGGCUAGACACAGUGUGCACACAUACAUGAUCAACACAGUCGUGUCAACACAGUGGUGCCAAACACACAGUGGUGGCACACACUCUUACUGAUGGGCAGCAGGGGGCGUUAGACAAGAAGUGAUAUUAAUUGCUUCAUUCUAAACGCCACAACAACAGGAUAAAACGGCGCCACGCGGCAAAACUACGGAGAAACAAAAAUACUAAAGAUACGAUGAAAUAUGAUCGAAAAAAAAAGCACGAAAGCAGUUUCAUGGUAAAACACAAGACACCACUCUAAAGAAGGCAAGGCAAAGGAAGGGGUGAGAGAGGACAGCUCCCAGGAGAAAAUGAAGGUUGAACAACGCAAAGCACGAAGUGAAGGGGAUAGUGAUGGACAGGAAACUAGCAGCCAGCGAGUCAAGGCCGCAGGAUGGACUAUGGGAUGAGAAGGGUUGGUGGACGAGUCAGUGGAUGUAGUGUGCAGUGGAGAGUGCGCGUGGGACAUGAGGAAAUAAGCAGUGCAGGGUGGAGGGUGACGCAGUGUGGGUUAGUGGAGAGCAGGCAGGCACGGGAUGAAGAAGGAAAGGCUUCCGAAUCGCCACACGCACGCCCGCUCAGGUCUCACAGCCUCGCCCUCCUUGUGAACCCUGUGAACUCCGUGGCUUCAGAGAAAAUGGGCCUCUGCCGCUGGGCGUCAACUGAGUCAAGGGAUGACUGAGUUAGUAGCGCGGUGGCGGGCUCCUCCCCUCACACCGCAGCGGGAUGCCUGGAACACAAGCCCCGCACAGCUCUCCACGCACCGGCUCGUUAGCAACACACUAAACCAACCCAGAACCUGACCCUGAAAAUUGGCCUUCCACUCUUCCCUCUCCCAAUAUUUUAUUUCUUCCUCUCAUUUGUUCUUCCCUUCCAUUCUCCCACUCUGCUCUUCUUCGCUCUUCCUUUUUUUAAAUCUUGACAUUUGAAUUCCUCUUGUCUGCUCAAGUGAAGCGAAUGGGGAUUUGCUUCGUUCAGGGUUCAAGUACUAUAGGGUUGUACCAUUGCCAACAAAAUCUUUUUCGCUGUGAUUUCAUCAAGAGAUCUCAAAUUUUCCCGUGGUAUUAUUCAUUCCAGCUUAGGCUCCAGCACACUUGAACACUGUAUGGUUUGAGUGCUAGACAAAUGUUGCCAUCUCUUUAUUUGCUUGCGUCUAUAGUUUUUGAUCAGCAGGAAGCAGAAAGCAAAAGUAAAUGAGGUGAAAAAUGAGAAAAGAUAUCUUUCCUUGAUCAGAACGACUUAAUAUGUUUUCUUCCCCAAGACCUCUAACCGAACCCUAUAAACACUGACCAAACAUACUGCUAAUAAAAAAAUAGAAAAAGCAGCGUUGCAGCACGUCCUGAGAGCAAGACAGAUCCUGGAGGGCUGGACUCGACUGGACUCAGCUCUCUAGACGUCUCUUACUCCUCAACAAAGCGAGGCGAGGCGACCAGCGGGGUUCAUAUACCCGACCCCGCCAUUCAGUGGAAAGCCUCCUGACUCGCUCUGACCGCCGCACGCACUUGCACCGGCUAAGGCAAAACAAUAAAUGGAAGCAAAAAGGAAGACGAUGCUGCUGCUAAACUCAGGAUGAAACUGACCGCACAGAUAUACUUUACUUCCCACGACCUGCACACAUUUCUAAAAGGCAAGGCAAGGGAAGGUGAACUGAAGCGAAAAGAUGAAAAUAAGUAAAGGGAGAAGAUUGUAUGAUAUUAUUAUUUUUUUUUUUCAGAGAUGAACUUUUCGUUAUUGUUUUCUUCCUUAGGCAUGAGUGUUCAAUUCUAGAUACAUUUAUAAAAGGUAAGGGAAGAAGAGGUGGAGUAAAGCAGAAAGAUGAUAAUAAGUAAAAGAGAAAGAUGCUAUUUUCUUCUAAGAUGCACUUUGUUAUUUUUUUUUUCCUUAGACACAAUAAGCACUUGUUUUUAGAUACAUUUCCAAACAGAAUAGGAGUGAAGCGAAAAAUUAAAAUGAGACAAGGGAGGACGGUA
Molecule: long non-coding RNA, 2639 nt
Organism: Scylla paramamosain (green mud crab)
Lineage: Eukaryota; Metazoa; Arthropoda; Malacostraca; Decapoda; Portunidae
Exons: 3
Source: RefSeq, a predicted model, not a curated record